AACGAACGCUGGCGGCAUGCCUAAUACAUGCAAGUCGAACGAAACCUUCGGGUCUUUUGGCCCACGGGUGCGUCACCCGAGGGAACCUUCCCUUGGGUUCGAACUAACUCUCCGACAGGGGUACUAAUACCGGAUAAUGUCUUCGGCCCAAUGAUUUAUUGCAUUUGGAUGGUCACGCGUUGGAUUAGCUCGUUCGUAGGGUAAAAGCAUACCAAGGGGACGAUCCAUAGCUGGUAAGAGAGGCUGGUCAGCCACACUGAGACUGAGACACGGCCCAGACUCCUACGGGAGGCAGGAGUGGGGGAUAGUGGAAAGUGGGGGAAAGGAUGAUGCUGCAAGGACGCGUAAACGAUGAAAGUCUGAGGGAUGUAAAGCUCUUUUACCCGGGAUGAUAAUGACAGUACCGGGACAAUAAGCUCCGGCUAACUCCGUG
RNAcentral lists this ribosomal RNA (433 nucleotides) under uncultured bacterium. RNAcentral describes it as "partial 16S ribosomal RNA". It matches the Rfam family "Bacterial small subunit ribosomal RNA", at positions 29 to 507 of the family's 1533-position model. The record is from RNAcentral.